ACCUAGGUAGCCUAGUGGAGAGACAUGGCAUCUGCCCGGUAAGCGGAACACUGUGGGUUCGAUUCCCAUCCCUGGACA
RNAcentral lists this transfer RNA (78 nucleotides) under Cordylochernes scorpioides. RNAcentral describes it as "tRNA-Thr". It matches the Rfam family "tRNA". Rfam says of the family: Transfer RNA (tRNA) molecules are approximately 80 nucleotides in length. The record is from RNAcentral. Lineage: Eukaryota; Metazoa; Arthropoda; Arachnida; Pseudoscorpiones; Chernetidae.